GUCGUCCAGGAUCGCGCCGGUGCCUUGUCAUGAGGCUUAAAAGGGAACGCGGUGAAGGUGGAGCGAUCCGCCCGAAGCCGAGGCUGUCCCUGCAACUGUAAGCGGUGAGCAAGAUGCCGGGGCUUCCCUCGCGGAAGCCGGCCACUGGACUGCGCGCAAAAGGGCGCGAGAGACCGGGAAGGCCGAGCAUCGCGCUUCGACCCGCAAGCCAGGAGACCUGCCGGCGCAUCGGUCGCUCU
RNAcentral lists this non-coding RNA (239 nucleotides) under Novosphingobium lindaniclasticum LE124. The record is from RNAcentral. RNAcentral also lists the same sequence under 1 other name. Lineage: Bacteria; Pseudomonadati; Pseudomonadota; Alphaproteobacteria; Sphingomonadales; Sphingomonadaceae.